GACGAACGCUGGCGGCGUGCUUAACACAUGCAAGUCGAACGGAAAGGCCCUGCUUUUGUGGGGUGCUCGAGUGGCGAACGGGUGAGUAACACGUGAGUAACCUGCCCUUGACUUUGGGGUAACUUCAGGAAACUGGGGCUAAUACCGGAUAGGAGCUCCUGCUGCAUGGUGGGGGUUGGAAAGUUUCGGCGGUUGGGGAUGGACGCGCGGCUUAUCAGCUUGUUGGUGGGGUAGUGGCUUACCAAGGCUUUGACGGGUAGCCGGCCUGAGAGGGUGACCGGCGACAUUGGGACUGAGAGACGGCGCAGACUCCUACGGGAGGCAGCAGUGGGGAAUAUUGCACAAUGGGCGGAAGCCUGAUGCAGCAACGCCGCGUGCGGGAUGACGGCCUUCGGGUUGUAAACCGCUUUCGCCUGUGACGAAGCGUGAGUGACGGUAAUGGGUAAAGAAGCACCGGCUAACUACGUG
This 468-nucleotide ribosomal RNA is filed under the name uncultured bacterium. RNAcentral describes it as "partial 16S ribosomal RNA". It matches the Rfam family "Bacterial small subunit ribosomal RNA", at positions 28 to 507 of the family's 1533-position model. The record is from RNAcentral.